RNAcentral lists this ribosomal RNA (396 nucleotides) under uncultured bacterium. RNAcentral describes it as "partial 16S ribosomal RNA". It matches the Rfam family "Bacterial small subunit ribosomal RNA", at positions 523 to 918 of the family's 1533-position model. The record is from RNAcentral.
CUACGUAGGGGGCGAGCGUUGUCCGGAAUGAUUGGGCGUAAAGGGCGCGUAGGCGGCUUUGCAAGUCAGUAGUGGAAGUCCAUUUUUCAAGGAUGGAAGUGCUACAGAAACUGCGGAGCUUGAGUGCAGGAGAGGUUAUCGGAAUUCCCGGUGUAGCGGUGAAAUGCGUAGAGAUCGGGAGGAACACCAGUGGCGAAGGCGGGUAACUGGACUGCAACUGACGCUGAGGCGCGAAAGUGUGGGGAGCAAACAGGAUUAGAUACCCUGGUAGUCCACGCUGUAAACGAUGAAUACUAGGUGUGGGGGGACUGACCCCCUCCGUGCCGCAGUUAACACAAUAAGUAUUCCACCUGGGGAGUACGAUCGCAAGAUUGAAACUCAAAUGAAUUGACGGGG